GAUGAACGCUGGCGGCGUGCCUAAUACAUGCAAGUCGAGCGAACAGACGAGGAGCUUGCUUCUCUUACGUUAGCGGCGGACGGGUGAGUAACACGUGGAUAACCUACCUAUAAGACUGGGAUAACUUCGGGAAACCGGAGCUAAUACCGGAUAAUAUAUUGAACCGCAUGGUUCAAUAGUGAAAGACGGUUUUGCUGUCACUUAUAGAUGGAUCCGCGCCGCAUUAGCUAGUUGGUAAGGUAACGGCUUACCAAGGCAACGAUGCGUAGCCGACCUGAGAGGGUGAUCGGCCACACUGGAACUGAGACACGGUCCAGACUCCUACGGGAGGCAGCAGUAGGGAAUCUUACGCAAUGGGCGAAAGCCUGACGGAGCAACGCCGCGUGAGUGAUGAAGGUCUUCGGAUCGUAAAACUCUGUUAUUAGGGAAGAACGAAUGUGUAAGUAAAUAUGCACGUCUUGACGGUACCUAAUCAGAAAGCCACGGCUAACUACGUG
RNAcentral lists this ribosomal RNA (497 nucleotides) under uncultured bacterium. RNAcentral describes it as "partial 16S ribosomal RNA". It matches the Rfam family "Bacterial small subunit ribosomal RNA", at positions 28 to 507 of the family's 1533-position model. The record is from RNAcentral.